This 209-nucleotide long non-coding RNA is filed under the name Manihot esculenta (cassava). RNAcentral's name for it is "long non-coding RNA (MESC_LNC005084)". The record is from RNAcentral. Lineage: Eukaryota; Viridiplantae; Streptophyta; Magnoliopsida; Malpighiales; Euphorbiaceae.
CUCUGGAUAUGCUGCACUUGGAUGGGUAGGGGAAGAUGGAUACAUAGGAUAUGGUGGGUAGUACGGAGGAUAAGGCAUAUAUGGCAUGUACGAAGGAUAUGGCACAAAACUAGAGUACUCCGACAUACCUCCCAUCGGAUACUCUGGAUAGCCAAAACCUGAGGUCUGAGCACCUCCCUGCGUCUCUCCCAUACCUUCCUCAAAACUGC